This 783-nucleotide long non-coding RNA is filed under the name Homo sapiens (human). RNAcentral describes it as "HSALNT0300226". Lineage: Eukaryota; Metazoa; Chordata; Mammalia; Primates; Hominidae. The record is from RNAcentral.
AUGCCCCUUCCUGCUGCAGGGACUUUGAAUUUGCUGUGUCUUCUGCUGAGAACAUUCCCUCUGAAGAUUCAGAACCCUUUAUACUACUCCAACACCAAAUAUUUAAUCUGUCAAUCUAAUCUUGGAUAUUUGAAAUCUUCUCCAUACAUAUCAUGAGAUAUUCUUCACCAGAAUAAGCUUUUGUUUCACUACCAAGAGGUUUGGCCUCCUCUCCAGCCUGUGACUACUGGGAAGACAGGGCACCUGUCCUAUUCACCUUUGUAUCUCUGGUGUCUCACUCAGGAUCCGGCACAGUGCUUGCCAAGGACCUGCUAUGCGCCAGGGGCUGCUGGAGCUGGGAACCUAAUGAUCACAGUGUCAGCCUCUGCCAGCCUUUGUGUGUGUGGCAGGGGUUGUUUUGAGUCCCACCAUCUUCCAUCCCUGAUGCUUGGAGAAGCUGAGGACACACAGGGGUGUACAGGGAGCAUGGUGCCAGCAUCUGCUUCUGAUGAGGCCUCAGGAAGCUUCCAAUCAUGGCAAAACGUGAAGUGGGAGCAGACACAUCACAUGGUUGAAUGGCGUCUCACCUGCUGACUAUACGAGUCUGAUGGGAAAAGCACGCUGCUUCCUCCAUUCCCAGCGGGAUCAAAUACACUGAGCGCAUCACCCAGCCUUGUAGCCUUCCGCAUCCUGGGGAGAGGGGUCCCAGCCAGCACUCGUGGUGAGAACAGAGCUCCCUCUCGGGACCCCGUUAUGCUGACCCUGGCUUCCACUUCUAGGAGAAAUAAAGCAUAGAAAGUCCUG